RNAcentral lists this transfer RNA (69 nucleotides) under Marmota monax (woodchuck). Its description in RNAcentral is "tRNA.Ser". Lineage: Eukaryota; Metazoa; Chordata; Mammalia; Rodentia; Sciuridae. The record is from RNAcentral.
GGGGUUGUGGCUCAUCGGUAGAGUGCUCGCCUAGAGUGCAAGGGCCUGGGUUCUAUCCUCAGCACCACA